Molecule: ribosomal RNA, 499 nt
Filed under: uncultured Glomeromycotina
Lineage: Eukaryota; Fungi; Glomeromycota
Description: partial small subunit ribosomal RNA
Rfam family: Eukaryotic small subunit ribosomal RNA
Source: RNAcentral
CCAAUAGCGUAUAUUAAAGUUGUUGCAGUUAAAAAGCUCGUAGUUGAAUUUCGAGACCGGUUUAUUGGUCGUGCUUUUGUACGUACUGGUAUUAUUGGUUUCUCCUUUCUGACGAAUCUUAAUGCCAUUAAUUUGGUGUUUUGGGGAAUCAGGACUGUUACUUUGAAAAAAUUAGAGUGUUUAAAGCAGGCUCACGCUUGAAUACAUUAGCAUGGAAUAACGGAAUAGGACGUUUGAUUCUAUUUUGUUGGUUUCUAGGAUCGACGUAAUGAUUAAUAGGGAUAGUUGGGUGCAUUAGUAUUCAAUUGUCAGAGGUGAAAUUCUUGGAUUUAUUGAAGACUAACUACUGCGAAAGCAUUUGCCAAGGAUGUUUUCAUUAAUCAAGACCGAAAGUUAGGGGAUCGAAGACGAUCAGAUACCGUCGUAGUCUUAACCAUAAACUAUGCCGACUAGGGAUCGGAUGAUGUUAAUUUUUUAAUGACUCAUUCGGCGCCUUACG